Molecule: ribosomal RNA, 459 nt
Filed under: uncultured Methylomirabilota bacterium
Lineage: Bacteria; Methylomirabilota (SeqCode)
Description: bacterial SSU rRNA
Rfam family: Bacterial small subunit ribosomal RNA
Source: RNAcentral
GGGCUUGACAUCCCACGAACCUGGCGAAAGGCAGGAGUGCCCGCAAGGGAGCGCGGAGACAGGUGGUGCAUGGCUGUCGUCAGCUCGUGUCGUGAGAUGUUGGGUUAAGUCCCGCAACGAGCGCAACCCUCACCCCUUGUUGCUACCAGGUAAAGCUGGGCACUCUAGGGGAACUGCCCCGGUCAACGGGGAGGAAGGCGGGGAUGACGUCAAGUCAUCAUGCCCCUUACGUCCUGGGCUACACACGUGCUACAAUGGCCGGUACAAAGGGAUGCCACACCGCGAGGUAGAGCUAAACCCAAAAAGCCGGUCUAAGUUCAGAUUGGAGUCUGCAACUCGACUCCAUGAAGGAGGAAUCGCUAGUAAUCGCGUGUCAGCACGACGCGGUGAAUACGUUCCCGGGCCUUGUACACACCGCCCGUCACACCACGAAAGCCAGCUGUACUCGAAGUCGCUGAG